RNAcentral lists this ribosomal RNA (431 nucleotides) under uncultured bacterium. Its description in RNAcentral is "partial 16S ribosomal RNA". It matches the Rfam family "Bacterial small subunit ribosomal RNA", at positions 29 to 507 of the family's 1533-position model. The record is from RNAcentral.
AACGAACGCUGGCGGCAGGCUUAACACAUGCAAGUCGAGCGCCCCACAAGGGGAGCGGCAGACGGGUGAGUAACGCGUGGGAACGUACCUUUUGGUUCGGAACAACUCCGGGAAACUGGAGCUAAUACCGGAUAAGCCCUAACGGGGAAAGAUUUAUCGCCGAAAGAUCGGCCCGCGUCUGAUUAGCUAGUUGGUGAGGUAACGGCUCACCAAGGCGACGAUCAGUAGCUGGUCUGAGAGGAUGAUCAGCCACACUGGGACUGAGACACGGCCCAGACUCCUACGGGAGGCAGCAGUGGGGAAUAUUGGACAAUGGGCGCAAGCCUGAUCCAGCCAUGCCGCGUGAGUGAUGAAGGCCUUAGGGUUGUAAAGCUCUUUUGUCCGGGAAGAUAAUGACUGUACCGGAAGAAUAAGCCCCGGCCAACUUCGUG